This is a long non-coding RNA of Lepidothrix coronata (blue-crowned manakin), 1674 nucleotides long. RefSeq lists it as uncharacterized. NCBI's taxonomy places the organism in Eukaryota, Metazoa, Chordata, Aves, Passeriformes, Pipridae. The record is from RefSeq and is a predicted model, not a curated record. The transcript has 3 exons.
CAUGCAUUUCUAAAGCUGGUAAAGCGUGGAUGUGAAGAUUAUUCUGAGAGCACUCAGACAUAAAACGUGACAGAAAACGCAGCAGAUAAGCACUAGAAACAUUAUUUACUAAGGUAAACUGCUUCACUUUAUUGGGGGGGGGAAAGAAGGAAAAACUUGUCUGUGUAUAUUGUUCCAGGCAUUUUCUCUGGAUCUAUUAACACCUCUUAUACCUUUCAGUGGGAGAGAGUAGGAAGUUUGUGUGAAAGGUGUGUCUGCACACAGGGAGCCUUUGUCCUGAGACAACUGAGGAAGCUCUCACCAAAAAGGAGGCUGGUCUGGACAGGUCUGAAACAUCUCUUGGCAUCAGCUCCUGUUUAUUGCAGUGGGAAGAGCAGUUACAGAUACUGGCAGCUUUAGUCAUAUGGAAGGUAUUUUAUUGACAGCUUUUGAGUCUAAAGUACUUGUUAGCACUGAACAGGUGUAGAGUGAUGUAGACUACUGGGCAAAUUCCCUUGUUCAGUGUUCCUUGAUAAAGAUUUCGUAGAACUGAAGAUUAACUGAGGUGGAAUAGGACAUCUGGAGCUCCCUUGUCUGACCUCCUGCUCCAGACAGGGCCAGGAUCAAAGGAUUCUCUCAGGUCUGCUUUCACAAAAAGCACAGCAGCUGCACACAGUGAGCACCCGAGGGCAGGACUUUUCAAGGCAUAGCUGAGUCUUUCUGUGGAUCAUACCCUGAGCUUUGCCUUUAUUCAGCUGUGGGACACUGUUGAACCUCCCAAUUUUACCUUGACCCUCUCAGAGUCUUUUCUGGAGUCUUGCUGAAUAGGAAGUUGCUCCCCAUUUUUGCAUUUGUACCUGUGACUUCUCUUGCUCAGGUAUUUCCUCUUGUCAUAACUAGACCAGCGCAUCGAGAUAAUUUAGAAGUUGAAAUCUGUGCACCACGGUGCUUGCAAACCCUCCCAGCUGAAUCAUCUGCUGGGUUUGUGGCCAUACAUUCCAGUCUGUCAUCCGGACUGGUAAUGAAAAUAUUGCACAGCCCUUGUGCCUGGCUGGACCCGCUUCCCAGUGCUCUCCCAGUUAGAUAACAAACCCUUGAUAAUUACGCUCCGAGAACGAUGUUGUCAUGCAGCCGUUUUAUGGUGAUUGCAUCCGAUUCACGUUUCCUUACGGGAAUAUCACGUGAAACGGCAUCAGAGCUAAUAAAGAAGCAUUUCUGAAUGUCCUUAUCACUUCUGGACGUUUUUCUUUGUUGCUCCAUAGAUUUCUGAAGCUGGAAGGGACCAUAAAGGUGAUGGGAUCUGCCCCUGUCCAUACUGGAAGUUUAGGUGAGCAAGUCACAGCAGAUUUAUCAGGAGUUUCGUAACAGGACGGUUGCGAUGUGACAGCUCCAGGAGAUCAAGAGGAAACAAACGUGAUGUGCUCAUGGGUCCCAAACAAAAUUAAACAAUUACCUGAAUCCAGUCUUCAGAGCAGCCUUUGAACCAAUCCCAACCCUUUUCUCUUUAAGGGCUGGAAAAAUAAGGAACGUGUCUAAUCCAUACCAGGUAUCAGCCGGCAGUUAUCGGUGCCUACGUGCUGCUACUCAGAUCUCGUUAGCUGUCUAAUUGGAUAAUAGGCAGUACACUUCACAACUACAUAAGUUUAUUAAGCUUAAUCUGCUUUGGAGCAGGGAGGGGAAGAUGUGCUCGGUGAC